UGCAGAAUCCCGUGAACCAUCGAGUCUUUGAACGCAAGUUGCGCCCGAUGCCACUAGGCUGAAGGCACGUCUGCCUGGGCGUCACAC
This 87-nucleotide ribosomal RNA is filed under the name Mirabilis nyctaginea. RNAcentral describes it as "partial 5.8S ribosomal RNA". It matches the Rfam family "5.8S ribosomal RNA", at positions 73 to 154 of the family's 154-position model. Rfam says of the family: 5.8S ribosomal RNA (5.8S rRNA) is a component of the large subunit of the eukaryotic ribosome. The record is from RNAcentral. Lineage: Eukaryota; Viridiplantae; Streptophyta; Magnoliopsida; Caryophyllales; Nyctaginaceae.